CCUACGGGAGACAGCAGUGAGGAAUAUUGGUCAAUGGACGAGAGUCUGAACCAGCCAAGUAGCGUGAAGGAUGACUGCCCUAUGGGUUGUAAACUUCUUUUAUAUGGGAAUAAAAUGUUCCACGUGUAGGGUUUUGUAUGUACCAUAUGAAUAAGGAUCGGCUAACUCCGUGCCAGCAGCCGCGGUAAUACGGAGGAUCCGAGCGUUAUCCGGAUUUAUUGGGUUUAAAGGGAGCGUAGGUGGAUUGUUAAGUCAGUUGUGAAAGUUUGCGGCUCAACCGUAACAUUGCAGUGGAAACUGGCAGUCUUGAGUACAGUAGAGGCGGGCGGAAUUCGUGGUGUAGCGGUGAAAUGCUUAGAUAUCACGAAGAACCCCGAUUGCGAAGGCAGUUCACUGGACUGCAACUGACACUGAGGCUCGAAAGCGCGGGUAUCAAACAGGAUUAGAUACCCUUGUAGUC
This 460-nucleotide ribosomal RNA is filed under the name uncultured bacterium. RNAcentral describes it as "partial 16S ribosomal RNA". It matches the Rfam family "Bacterial small subunit ribosomal RNA", at positions 338 to 795 of the family's 1533-position model. The record is from RNAcentral.